GACUUCCUGACCUCUUCCUUUGUUUGGCCUUCAGUGCUUUUAAGAAGUCCGUCAACCUUUUAGCUUUUCAAACAGAAAAGUUUGUCUAAAUAAGCUGGUUUAUCAUAUCCCUGGAAAAGGAAAAAUAAAAAUUCUAUUUUUUCUAUUUCCUUAAUGGACUUAUAAUUACUGUUUAUAGUACAAAAAGUUGAUUUCAGAUACAGAGUUGCUAUUUUUUAAAAUUUCUUUUUCCAAUUUGUUAGUAAAAUUUGUUCUUUAAAAAAAUUUGUUUUUAAUUGGUGAAAAAUUUCUUUCCAAUUUUGUGUUGGUUUCUGCUGUACAGUGGGGCUUCCCCAAUUGCUCAGUAUCUGCCUGCUAAUGCAGGAGUGUGAAGUGUGAAAGUUGCUCAGUUGUGUCUGACUCUUUGCCCACCCCAUGGACUCCAUGGAAUACUCCAGGCCAGAAUACUGGAGUCGAUAGCCUUUCCCUUCUCCAGGGGAUCUUCCCAACCCAGGGAUUGAACCCAGGUCUCCCCCAGUGCUUUUGAACUGUGGUGUUAGAGAAGACUCUUGAGAGUCCCUUGGACUGCAAGGAGAUCCAGCCAGUCCAUCCUAAAGCAGAUCAGUCCUGGGUGUUCAUUGGAAGGACUGAUGUUGAAGCUGAAACUCCAGUACUUUGGCUACCUGAUGUGAAGAGCUGACUCAUUGGAAAAGACCCUGAUGCUAGGAAAGAUUGAGGGCAGGAGGAGAAGGAGAUGACAGAGGAUGAGAUGGUUGGAUGGCAUCACCGACUCAAUGGACUUGGGUUUGGGUAGACUCUGGCAGUUGGUGAUGGACAGGGAGGCCUGGCGUGCUGCGAUUCUUGGGGUUGCAAAGAGCUGGACACAACUGAGCGACUGAACUGAACUGAACUCCCCCAUUGCAGGCGGAUUCUUUACCAGCUGAGCCACAAGGGAAGUACAAGAAUACUGGAGUGCGUAGCCUAUCCCUCCUCCAGGGGAUCUUUCCUACCCAGGAAUCAAACCGGGGUCUCUUGCAUUGCGGGUGGAUUCCUUACCAGUCCCCUAUAAUGAAAAGGACAUCUACCUCAAACAAAAAUGGUCAGAAGACCUAAAUACAUUUUCCCAAAGAAGACAUACAGAUGGCCACCAGGCACAUGAACAGAUGUUCAACAUCACUAAUUAUUAGAGAAUUGAAAAUCAAAACUGCAAUGAGGUAUCACCUCACACCAGUGACAAAGGGCCACCAUAAAAAAGUCAACAAAUAAUAAAUACUGGAGAAGGUAUGGAGAAAAGGGAACCCUCUUAUACUGUUGGUGGGAAUGUAAAUUGGUGUGGCCAUUAUGGAGAACAAUAUGGAGAUUUCUCAAGAAAACUAAAAAUAGAGCUAUUAUAUAGACCAACAAUCUCAAUCUUAGAGACAUACUCCGAAAAGGUGAAAACUCUAAUGUGAAAAGGAACAUGCACCCUGAUAUUCAUAAUAGUCAAGACAUGGAAGCAACUUUUAAGUGUCAUUCACAUGAAUGGAUAAAGAUGUGUACACACACACACACACAUAUAUACAGUAUGAACUAUUAUUCUUCCAUAAAAAAUGAAGUAAUGCUAUUUAUAGCAACAUGGAUGGACCUGUUAUUGUUCAGUCUCUCAGUCAAGUCUUACUCUUUGUGGCCCUGUAGACUACAGUACAUCAGGCUUCCCUGUCCUUCACUAUCUCCUGGAGUUUACUCAAAUUCUUAAGAGUCAAUGAUGCUAUCCAACCAUCUCAUCCUCUCUUGCCCUCUUCUCCUCCUGCCC
Bos taurus (domestic cattle) is the source of this 1771-nucleotide long non-coding RNA. Lineage: Eukaryota; Metazoa; Chordata; Mammalia; Artiodactyla; Bovidae. The record is from Ensembl.